This 5338-nucleotide long non-coding RNA is filed under the name Homo sapiens (human). RNAcentral describes it as "HSALNT0258659". Lineage: Eukaryota; Metazoa; Chordata; Mammalia; Primates; Hominidae. The record is from RNAcentral.
GCGGGAGAACCGAGCCGCGGCCGGAAGCGGGUGGGGGAAGGGCGGCCUGGUUUCCGCUCCUGCGCACUACAGCCUCCGGCAGACACAGGCAGGGCACAUCGCGCCGGGGUGUGCUGCAGCCCGCGGGGACCGGCAGGCUCUUGCAAAGGGCUGGCGACCUCCAGCUGAGACCGGCGGUGUUAUUCCCACACCAGCAUAGGCCCGCCAUCAGACCUAAAAAGUCUAAGGGUCGCCUUCUAGCCUGGGGUUUCAACUCCCAGCCAAGACUUCCUUACAGGUUAGAAAACUGAUGUCCCUAUACGUAAAGAGCUCUUACAAAUUAACAAGUGUCACCCCCAAAAAAAUAUAGGCAAAGGAUGUGAACAGGAAACUCACAAAAAAUUGGACAAUAUGAUCAAUAAGCGUAUUAAAAUGUAAACCAUAAAAGAAUCGCUUGAACCCUGGAGGUGGAGGUUGCAGUGAACCAAGAUCGCACCACUUCACUCCAGGCUGGGUAACAGAGCAAGACUCCGUCUCAAAAAAGAAAAAAAUGUAAACCAUGCAAAAUGAAUGCCCACCAGAACGGCUGUGCAGACAACACCAGCCCUCUGGACUAGAGAGGAGCUACCUUCCUAGCUGCCACUGUGACAGCUGGCCCUGGACCCUGGAAGGGCAGACCAACCCACAGUCAGGAGGUCCUGGCCCGGCCCCGGCCCCGGCACCAGCACCCAAAGGCAAAAAGGCAACUCAGAAAAACAGAGGUUAAUAACUUGUGAGUUAAAAUAAGGUACAUACAAACAUAUUUGGAUGUAAACAUUUGUUUUAAUUUAUAUUAAUAAAAGGAAAUGCUCUACUUAAACAAUAAUUCAUCUGGGUCUUCUUGUAUAAUACAAAAUUCUUCCAUGGGAGUCUGAUGAUUUGGGGGCCAGCAACUCUUCUCACAUGUGUAAACUAGAAUUGUUCCAAAUUCCACAGAAAGACCUGAAAAAUACCACAUAUUCAGGCUUCCAGCAAAAAGAGUUAUGAGACUGAUGUUACUAAAAGGAAUGAUUUUACCUUAUAAGCUGAAAAAGUAAUUAGGUAAAGCAAAAACAGUGCUUACUGCUUUCAGCUAUAACAGAAUCACAGUCUAUCCUAUAAUAAGUGAAUAUUGAUAACAAAAAAGCAAAAUUAAUUUAAAGUGGCAGGAAAAUAUACUUUAAAAAUAAACAAAAAUUUCAGCAAGUGUUCAUUAUAACUGUCUAGCUAUCUGAUGUUGAAAAUCUAUAUUAAUCUACAUGGUUCAUGUGAUAUACAUAGCUUUUGGCUAGGUGCGGUGGCUCACAACUGUGAUCCCUGCACUUUGGGAGGCCGACGGGGAAGGACAGCUUGAGCCCAGCCUAGGCAACAUAGUGAGACACCUGUCUCUACAAAAAACAAAACAAACAAACAAACAAACAAAAUAUAUAUAUAUCUCAUAUAGCCUGGGCAACACAGUGAGACUUUACUAAAAAAAAAAAAAUUCACUGGGUGUAACGGUGCACACCUGUAGUCCCAGCUACUCAGAGGAGACUAAGGCAGAAGGAUCACUUGAGCCCAGGAGAUAAAGGCUGCAAUAAGCUAUGAUUGCACCACCGUACUCUGGCCCGGGUGAUAGAGCGAGACCCUGUCUUAAAAAAAAAAAAAAAAAGAAGAGAGAAAUAUAUAUCAUAGGACACACUACUGCCGAGAAAGGAUAAGGAUUCAGGCAAAAAAUAUAAAAUAAACCCUAAGAGUUUACAGAAAAUUAUCAAUGAAUAAAGCCAUUAAAAAAAGAUACCAAGAAAACAUAAGCAAUAAGAACUCCUGAUAUUAGAACAGAAAAGCAGGAGUCAAGAGGAUGACGUAGGCAAUGAUUUGCAGCAGCAAAGGAGAAAUACAUUGUUUAAAAAUGUAUGCAUUGGCUGGGCACAGCACAUUGGCUCAUGCUUGUAAUCCCAGCACAUUGGGAGGCUGUGGUAUAUGGAUCACCUGAGGUCAGGAGUUCAAGACCAGCCUGGCCAACAUGGUGAAACCCCGUCUCUACUAACAAUACAAAAAAUUAGCUGGGCGUGGUGGUAGGCACCUGUAAUCCCAGCUACUUGGGAGGCUGAGGCAGGAGAAUUGCUUGAACCUGGGAGGCACAGGUUGCAGUGAGAAGAGAUUGUGCCACUGCACUCCAGCCUGGGCAACAGAGUGAGACUCUGUCUCAAAAAAAAAAAAAAAAAUGAAAAAAUGGCAGAGUUUAACUGGUAUAUGACAUUCCUCUAGGAGCAUCUGACUGGUAAGGGAAAAGCGCCUCAAGUGAGCAAGUCUACAACUCCAGUAAACACACUGCGCAUGCGGCCUCUCCCAAGUGCUGGAGGGCCACUAUGCAUGUGGACAGCCCACCCCAAGGGAAGAAACAAGAGAAGUAACCCAAGACCCAGGAAGUAUAAAACCCCAAGUCAAAGGUCAAAUGGACACUUGAAUCUCUCAGGUUGCCUGCUUGGCCCUCUUCCAACUAUAUUUACUUCCUUUCGUUCUUGCUCUAAAACUUUUUAGUAAGUUUUCACUCCUGCUCUAAAAUUUGCUUCGGUCUCUCCUCUGUCUUAUGUGCCUCGGUCAAAUUCUUUCUUCGGAGGAGGCAAGAACUGAGGUUGCUACAGACCCCUACAGAUUCACCGCUGCUAACAGUAUUGUGGCAAAAAUGUUAGUCACAAAGGGGGAAAAAAUCAGACCACCCUCAUACCUCUACAAAGCUACAUUCCAUGCAAAAGACAUUUCUAUAUGAGUGAAAAAUCUCAGAGACUAGAAUGCCCAUAAGCCCUUCCAGAAAAAUAUAUUUCCCAGUGAGACUGAACCACCAAGAAAUGACAGGAGGCACCAGGGCAAAGGGCUGGCAGGGCUUUCACUGUCAGAAGACAACACAGGGGUCUAUACAAGGUUCUGAAAAGAGAAAGUGGGAUUUAAAAAUUUUAUACAUGGGUUGCCCCUCAAAUAUGAAGCCACAUUACCAUGCACAAUCUGAAGCAAGAUACCUCUGAGCCCUCCUUAAAGCUAUUACUUGAGAAAAUCCAGCUACUGCAAAAAGAAUCAAAAUAAAACAGGAAUAAAAAAGCUCACUCUAAGAGUGGUGAUAAACACUGAAUCCAUUUACACAUAGAACUAAGGCUAUCCAAAUAGCUGUGAUAAUUAUGAUACUGGCCAGGCGCGGUGGCUCAUGCCUGUAAAUCCCAGCACUUUGGGAGGUCGAGGUGGACGGAUCACUUGAGGUCAGGAGUUCAAGACCAGCCAACAUGGCGAAACCCCGUCUCUAUUAAAAAUACAACAUUAGCAGGGCGUGGUGGUGGGCGCCUGUAAUCCCAGCUACUCAAGAGGCUGAGGCAGGAGAAUCGCUUGAACCUGGGAGGCAGAGGUUGCAAUGAGCCGAGAUAGUGCCACUGUACUCCAGGCUGGGCGACAGAGUGAGGCUCCAUCUCAAAAAAAAAAAAAAAAAAAAAGAUACUGGGUCCAGGCACGGUGGCUCAUGCCUAUAAUCCAAGCACUUUGGGAUGCCGAGGCAGGUCGGGAGCUUGAGGUCAGGAGUUUGAGACCAGCCUGGCCAACAACAGUGAAACCUGUUUCUACCAAAAAUAUAAAAAAUUAGCUGGGUGUGGUGGUGGGCACCUGUAAUCCCAGCUACUCAGGAGGCUGAGGCAGGAGAAUCACUUGAACCUGGGAGGCAGAGGUUGCAGUGAGCCGAGAUAGCACCAUUGCACUCCAACCUGGGUGAAACUCCGUCUCAAAAAACAAAAAAGAUACUGAAAUAUUUCAAGGUAGGAAUAGGGUAUAAAUUUCCUUAUCUACUAUGGUAAGGAGCCAGAUGCAUACUAUCUAAAACUGAAACACAGAAAGAAUGUUAUUUUCUGUUAAUAGCAGAAGCACCUUUCAGAAACUUGGGCCUCUUAGGUAAAGAACCUAUUACCAAAAGUCCAGGCCAGGCGUGGCAGCUCACGCCUGUAAUCCCAGCACUUUGGGAGGCUGAGGUGGGCGGAUCACAAGGUCAGGAGAUCAACACCAUCCUGGCUAACACAGUGAAACCCCGUCUCUACUAAAAAUACAAAAAAAAAUUAGCUGGGCUUGGUUGCGGGCGCCUGUAGUCCCAGCUCCUUGGGAGGCUGAGGCAGGAGAAUGGCAUGAACCCGGGAGGCGGAGCUUGCAGUGAGCUGAGAUUAUGCCACUGCACUCCAGCCUGGGCGACAGAGCAAGACUCCGUCUCAAGAAAAAAGAAGGAAAAAAAAAAAAAUCCAGUAACUGCUUCACUUAUACUUAACAUUCCUUCUGUUAAUUUGUACAAAAAUUUGUUCUAAGACUUUUAAUUACCAUAUUAGUGAAUUUUCCUAUUUUAGGAAAAUUAUUUUCGUCUAGCCAUCCAUACAUUCAUCUGACUUGCUAUUUGUCUUUAUGUCAAAAAUGAUUGUUGGAAUAAUGGUUAUUAACAUUGAUAAUAGUUUUAAUUUCUGGCCAGGCAUGGUUCAUGCUUGUAAUCACUUUGGGAGGCCAAGGCGGGAGGAUCGCUUGAGUCUAGGAGUUCGAGACCAGCCUGGGCAACAUGACGCAACCUUGUCUCUACAAAAAAUACAAAAAUUCCAUCCUGGCCAACACAGUGAAACCCUAUCACUACUAAAAAUACAAAAACUAGCCGGGCGUGGUGGCGGGCACCUGUAAUCCCAGCUACUAGGGAGGCUGAGGGAGGGGAAUUGCUAGACCCCGGGAGCUGGAGGUUGCAGUGAGCCAAGAACGUGCCACUGCACUCCAGCCUGGGCGACAGAGAGAGACUCCAUCUCAAUAAAUAAAUCAAUCAAUAAAUAUUAAAAAAAAAAAAAAAAGACUGGCUGGAUUAUAAAUUUCUUUUUUUUUUUUUGAGACAGAGUCUCCUCACUCUGUCGCCAGGCUGGAGUAGAGUGGUGCGAUCUUGGCUCACUGCAACCUCUACCUCCUGGGUUCAAGCGAUUCCCUGCCUCAACCUCCCAAGGAGCUGGGACUACAGGCACGUGCCACCACGCCCAGCUAAUUUUUUAUAUUAUAGUAGAGACAGGGUUUCACCACAUUGGCCAGGAUGGCCUCGAUCUCCUGACCUUGUGAUCCACCCGCCUUGGCCUCCCAAAGUGCUGGGAUUACAGGCAUGAGCCACCACACCUGGCCUAAAUUUCUUAAAAUAAUUUUUUAAUUCCCAAAUUUUCUGUAAUUUGCUUAUGAUAUUUUAUAAGUAAACAAAAGGUUUUUCAUUUAUUUAAAAAUAAUGCCAGAAAUCCACAAACUCAAAUUAAUAAAGGGCUUCUCACCUAAAUUAGCACUCUUGAGCAUGCUGACCAGUGCUGGCAUAAGCUGAAACUCAAAU